RNAcentral lists this ribosomal RNA (473 nucleotides) under uncultured bacterium. RNAcentral's name for it is "bacterial SSU rRNA". It matches the Rfam family "Bacterial small subunit ribosomal RNA", at positions 28 to 507 of the family's 1533-position model. The record is from RNAcentral.
GACGAACGCUGGCGGCGUGCCUAACACAUGCAAGUCGAGCGGGGUUGAGGCGAGAGGUAACUCGAGCUUCUACCUAGCGGCGGACGGGUGAGUAACGCGUGGGCAACCUGCCUCAAGGUUUGGGAUAACAGCCCGAAAGGGCUGCUAAUACCGGAUAUGCCUAUGGCCUCGCAUGGGGCUAUGAGCAAAGGGGAAACCCGCCUUGAGAUGGGCCCGCGUCCCAUCAGCUAGUUGGUGAGGUAACAGCUCACCAAGGCGACGACGGGUAGCCGGCCUGAGAGGGUGACCGGCCACACUGGGACUGAGACACGGCCCAGACUCCUACGGGGGGCAGCAGUGGGGGAUCUUGCACAAUGGGCGAAAGCCUGAUGCAGCGACGCCGCGUGAGCGAAGAAGGCCUCGGUGUAAGCUCUGUCUGGAGGGACGGAACAAAAUGACGGUACCUCCCGGAGGAAGCCACGGCUAACUACGUG